This 548-nucleotide ribosomal RNA is filed under the name uncultured bacterium. Its description in RNAcentral is "bacterial SSU rRNA". It matches the Rfam family "Bacterial small subunit ribosomal RNA", at positions 355 to 896 of the family's 1533-position model. The record is from RNAcentral.
UGGGGAAUUUUGGACAAUGGGCGCAAGCCUGAUCCAGCCAUGCCGCGUGUCUGAAGAAGGCCUUCGGGUUGUAAAGGACUUUUGUCAGGGAAGAAAAGGCUGUUGCUAAUAUCGACAGCUGAUGACGGUACCUGAAGAAUAAGCACCGGCUAACUACGUGCCAGCAGCCGCGGUAAUACGUAGGGUGCGAGCGUUAAUCGGAAUUACUGGGCGUAAAGCGAGCGCAGACGGUUACUUAAGCAGGAUGUGAAAUCCCCGGGCUCAACCUGGGAACUGCGUUCUGAACUGGGUGACUAGAGUGUGUCAGAGGGAGGUAGAAUUCCACGUGUAGCAGUGAAAUGCGUAGAGAUGUGGAGGAAUACCGAUGGCGAAGGCAGCCUCCUGGGAUAACACUGACGUUCAUGCUCGAAAGCGUGGGUAGCAAACAGGAUUAGAUACCCUGGUAGUCCACGCCCUAAACGAUGUCAAUUAGCUGUUGGGCAACUUGAUUGCUUAGUAGCGUAGCUACGCGUGAAAUUGACCGCCUGGGGAGUACGGUCGCAAGAUUA